RNAcentral lists this ribosomal RNA (41 nucleotides) under Phomopsis sp. ZH5-C1. RNAcentral's name for it is "partial 28S ribosomal RNA". Lineage: Eukaryota; Fungi; Ascomycota; Sordariomycetes; Diaporthales; Diaporthaceae. The record is from RNAcentral.
GGAUCAGGUAGGAAUACCCGCUGAACUUAAGCAUAUCAUAA